CCCUUAGAUGUUCUGGGCCGCACGCGCGCUACACUGAUGCAUUCAACGAGUCUAAAACCUGGUCUGAUAGGGCUGGGUAAUCUUUUGAAUGCGCAUCGUGAUUGGGAUAGAUGAUUGCAAUUCUUCAUCUUCAACGAGGAAUGCCUAGUAAACGCAAGUCAUCAGCUUGCAUUGAUUACGUCCCUGCCCUUUGUACACACCGCCCGUCGCUCCUACCGAUUGAAUGUUCCGAUGAAUACCAUGGACUGAGAGUAUGAAUGGGUUCGCCUAUUUCUGCUUCUCGGGAAGUGGAGUAAAUCUUAACAUUUAGAGGAAGGAGAAGUCGUAACA
RNAcentral lists this ribosomal RNA (330 nucleotides) under uncultured eukaryote. RNAcentral describes it as "partial 18S ribosomal RNA". It matches the Rfam family "Eukaryotic small subunit ribosomal RNA", at positions 1470 to 1796 of the family's 1831-position model. The record is from RNAcentral.